UAUGUUAUUGCAGAUUUUAAAAUAAUCUUCUUAACGUUUGAUUUUUUGACAGAGCUCAUAAGAGGACUCGCAGCAUAGUGGAGAGGGGAAUAGGGCAACUCAAGCGGCGUUUUCAUGUGUUGCAUGGAGAAGUUAGAUUAACCCCAGAAAAAACAUGCAAGGUGAUCACAUGUUGUGCAGUUUUGCACAACAUAUGCAAGUUGCGAAACAUCCCCUUGCCUGAUGGUGAAUCGAUUGACCCAGAUGACGGCGACCAACCACAGAUUGUGCCACAGUUGUCUGGACAUAACCUGAUUUACAGGGAUCACUUUGCCAACACUCACUUCUAGGGUAAGGCAAAUUAUUGGAUAUUUUCAUCAACAUGACAGUAAAAGAUUUAGUAC
Haliotis rubra (blacklip abalone) is the source of this 383-nucleotide long non-coding RNA. RefSeq lists it as uncharacterized. Lineage: Eukaryota; Metazoa; Mollusca; Gastropoda; Lepetellida; Haliotidae. The transcript has 2 exons. The record is from RefSeq and is a predicted model, not a curated record.